AUUGAACGCUGGCGGCAGGCCUAACACAUGCAAGUCGCACGAGUGGCGGACGGGUGAGUAAUGUCUGGGAAACUGCCCGCUGGAGGGGGAUAACGACUGGAAACGGUAGCUAAUACCGCAUACCCUCAGAUGUGCCCAGAAGGGAUUAGCUAGUAGGGGUGGUAACGGCGCACCUAGGCGACGAUCCCUAGCUGGUCUGAGAGGAGGACCAGCGACACUGGAACUGAGACACGGUCCAGCCUCCUACGGGAGGCAGCAGUGGGGAAUAUUGCACAAUGGGCGCAAGCCUGAUGCAGCCAUGCCGCGUGUAUGAAGAAGGCCUUCGGGUUGUAAAGUACUUUCAGCGAGGAGGCGUUACUCGCAGAAGAAGCACCGGCUAACUCCGUGCCAGCCGCCGCGGUAAUAC
This 406-nucleotide ribosomal RNA is filed under the name uncultured bacterium. RNAcentral's name for it is "partial 16S ribosomal RNA". It matches the Rfam family "Bacterial small subunit ribosomal RNA", at positions 30 to 526 of the family's 1533-position model. The record is from RNAcentral.